UCCCAGGCGGUCCAGUGGUUAGGACUCCGUGCUUUUACUUUGGUGGCCCAGGUUCAAUCUCUGGUCUGGGAA
This 72-nucleotide transfer RNA is filed under the name Bos taurus (domestic cattle). It matches the Rfam family "tRNA". Rfam says of the family: Transfer RNA (tRNA) molecules are approximately 80 nucleotides in length. RNAcentral also lists the same sequence under 2 other names. Lineage: Eukaryota; Metazoa; Chordata; Mammalia; Artiodactyla; Bovidae. The record is from Rfam by way of RNAcentral.